This 1187-nucleotide ribosomal RNA is filed under the name uncultured soil eukaryote. Its description in RNAcentral is "SSU rRNA". It matches the Rfam family "Eukaryotic small subunit ribosomal RNA", at positions 30 to 1190 of the family's 1831-position model. The record is from RNAcentral.
GCUUGUUUCAAAGAUUAAGCCAUGCAUGUCUAAGUAUAAGCGAACUUAUAUAGUGAAACUGCAGAUGGCUCAUUAAAACAGUUUGAAUUUAUUUGAUGAAUGUGCGAGAGUACUACAUGGAUAUCCGUAGUAAUUCUAGAGCUAAUACAUGCAAGAACGCCCGACCAUUUCGGAAGGGUUGUAUUUAUUGGAUACAAAAACCAGACCUGGCAACAGGUUUUGUUUGUUGAUUCACAAUAACUGAUCGGAUCGAGGCCUCGGCUUCGAUAGGUCAUUCAACAUUCUGCCCUAUCAGCUUUCGAUGGUUCUGUAGUGGACAACCAUGGCAGUAACGGGUAACGGAGAAUCAGGGUUCGGUUCCGGAGAGGGAGCUUGAGAAUUGGCUACCACAUCUAAGGAAGGCAGCAGGCGCGCAAAUUACCCAAUCCUGACUCAGGGAGGUAGUGACAAAAAAUAACAAUACCGGAUCUUUUUGGGUUUGGUAAUUGGAAUGAGAACAAGUUAAACUUUUUAUCGAGGAUCCAUUGGAGGGCAAGUCUGGUGCCAGCAGCCGCGGUAAUACCAGCUCCAAUAGCGUAUAUUCAAGUUGUUGCAGUUAAAAAGCUCGUAGUUGGACAUGUGUGCGCUGAUGUUUAGCGGUCUGCGCUCAAAAGAGUGUUACGACAUGCGGCAUCGGCGCCGUAAAAUCUUCAACUGGAUCGUGUCUGGUCUUGAUUGACUGGGCGCUGUUCAUUCGGUUGAUCGUUUACUGUGAGAAAAUUAGAGUGUUCAAGGCAGGCAUUAUUGCAAUUGAAUAUGUUAGCAUGGAAUAAUAAGAUAGGGCUUUCGCUUUAUUUUGUUGGUUUCUAGAGUGGAAGUAAUGAUUGAUAGGGACAGUUGGGGGUGCUAGUAUUCAGCGGCCAGAGGUGAAAUUCAUGGAUUCGCUGAAGACUAACUUAUGCGAAAGCAUUCACCAAGGAUGUCCUCUUUAAUCAAGAACGAAAGUUGGGGGAUCGAAGACGAUCAGAUACCGUCGUAGUCUCAACCAUAAACUAUGUCGACUAGGGAUUGGCGGUCGUUUUUAUUGUAAGACUCCGUCAGCACCUUAUGAGAAAUCAAAGUGUUUGGACUCUUGGGGAAGUAUGGUCGCAAGGCUGAAACUUAAAGGAAUUGACGGAAGGGCACCACCAGGAGUGGAGCCUGCGGCU